GAUCCGCCCGCCUCGGCCUCCCAAAGUGCUGGGAUUACAGGCGUGAGCCACCGCGCCUGGCCUCUGUCCCUUUUAAAUGGUGCAUCUGAUCAUCACUUGCUCACCCCACCAGCAGGUCCCAGAGGGACACAGCACCUGAGCAAGCUCUGGAGGUGGUCCUGUCCCUCUUGCUGAAAAGGCAAGGGCUCACUCAGGGAGGGCAGGUGGUGAGCUUCCAGCCCAGCCCUGGACUGCAGGGCAUUGCUAGCAAGCACAGCCAGUGAGGAGACGAGGCUUGAGAGGCUAGGCACCUUGGCCAAGUCACACAGCGGACAUGGGCUGCGCCAGGAUUUGAAGCAGAUCUGCCCUCUUACAAAGACUGUGGGAACCCUUCCCUACCUUGCUGCCUCUCGUGAAUUAACAAAAACGUUCAUCAAUCGUAGUCUCAUUUUCAAAGACCAGGCCAGAAGAUACUGACUGAACAAUUUACUUAGAUUUAUCAAAUGACUUAAUGAAAUAUUUUUAGAUUAUGAUGGAUCCCAUAGUGCUCACUGCCUACCAGGCAUUCAAGUAGAACAUGUGUAUGUGGCUCAUUCAUUCAUCAAGAACCUGUGCACUGCUUUAAAUGCUGAAGAGUCAGCAGUGAGCAAAUCAGGCAGGAAUUCCGGUCUUCAUGGAGCUUACAUUCGUCAGGAGGUCGGGGCAAGGUUGGUAGGGGAGACAGAAAUAAAUAAAUAGUUAUACGGGGCAUCAGAUGAUGGUUAUGGCUGUGGAGACAAGUGAAACGGAAGGCGCAUGGGAAGUGGGAGGAGGAGGUGGUAACGAUUUUAAAUGGAGUAGUCAGGAUGGACUCACCGAGAGGAUCACAUUUGAGAGGGGUCAAACCGUGGAGGAUUCCCAGUGGGGGAACAGCUGGAGCAAAGGUCCUGAGGCAAGAGAGUGCCUGGCACGUUCCCAAAACAGCACGGAGGCCAAUAGGGCUGGAGCAGUGAACGAGGAGGUGAAGCCAAGAACUCUCCCAGGCUAAGCCCCAAUUUUGAGACUCGCCUGUCCUGCAUCACUAGGGCAUAAACGUGACAGAUCUGACACUUAGACACACCCACAUAAGACUGAUUCAGGUCCCAAGGCUGUCAUCUGUGGUGGCAGGAGGUUCAUCCCAUCUGCAGCCAGUGGAACCUUAGGAGGCAGUGCUCCUCUAUUUUAUUGCUGACCCUCCAGAGACUUUAGAAAGCAGCUCUACAGGCUGGAUACCUCUCAACCUGACCUCUGGAGACUGCAAGGCCCAAGUGUAGGAAAGGAUAUGGCUACUCACCUAUCUUUUUUUUUUCUUUGAGACAGAAUCUUGCUCUGUCACCUAGGCUGGAGUGCAGUGGCGUGAUCUCGGCUCACUGCAACCUCCGCCUCCCAGGUUCUAAUGAUCGUAAUGAUCCUUUUGCCUCAGCCUCCUGAGUAGCUGGGAUUACAGAUGCAUGCCACCAUGCCUGGCUAAUUUUUUUUUUUCAUUAGAGAUGGGGUUUCACCAUGUUGGCCAGGAAGGUCUUGAACUCCUGACUUUGAGUGAUCUGCUCGCCUCAGCCUCCCAAAGUGCUGGGAUUACAGGCGUGAGCCACCGUGCCUGGCAGCUACUCAACGAUCUUUCCAGCUCUCCUCUCCUUCCGGCCACACAGGAGGGUUGCGUGUCCACACCCCCCUGAAGUAAGGCAUGAUGCCAGAACUUGCUUUGGAUGAUGACACAGAAACAGCAGUGAUACACCACUUCUGGAUGGCAGCACUGAAGAGCCAAGGUGUGAUUCUCCAACCUGUCUUUUCCCUGGCUCUGUUCAGUCUAGAGGCCCAUGUUGAUAUGGAGGUGCCCCAAGGUCAAAGCCUGGAAUUCUGGGCCACCAAAUAGAGAAUGACUGCCCUGGAACAUCCCCUCAGAGCCACAGAUGUUGAGUCACUGAGGUUAGGAGGUGGUUUGUUACUGCAGCAGAACUCAGCCUAACCUGACUUAUUCACCAGUCCUGGUUCUAGAAAGCUACAUAAUCAGGGGGUAGGUAGGCCCAAAAGCACCACUAAGCCAGGGUGCCUCACCUCCCCUCAUUGAUCCUUUAGAAAGAAGGAAAGUCCGGCCUUCCCCAGCAAGGCAGUGCUGCUCUGACCUAUGCAUGCUUCAGGACAUGAGAUGUUAGUGAGCUGCUUGGUCCCAAAGAGCAAGAUCAGGGAAAGUGAGUGCUCCAGAGACACCAAUCGUGGUGCCCACCAUCCCACAGCCACCCAGAGGCCUCUGCCCCAGAGCCUAGGAUGACAGUGUCCAAGACUCUGGAGUGUGAAGGUGGAAAUGCUGUGAGAAUGAGGGAGGUGGGGGGAGGGCUGGAGGAAAAAGAGGUGUCAUGCAACCUGAUAUAGGAGGAGGUCAACAGAGUGGAAACACAGAGAUGAGUGGAAUCUGCACAAGAGUUGGGGGAGCAGCCAGGCCCCCAGGCCUGUCAGCCAGCCUUGUUUCAGGGUCUCUUGAGCAAGCCUGUGUUUCUUCCAUUCAUAGCAGGACUGUGCAGAAAGGCAGUGCCAACAUCCUAGGAACCUGCACCUCCUUUCUGGCCAGUCAACAAAUCCACCCAUGAGACUUCUCUCCCAGUCCCUCCCAGUCCUGUCUGACCCUUUUCUACAUAUACAGAGUUAAGUGCCACAAGGAGGCUCAUUCUGCACGUGUCCCCGGGGCCUAGAAUUCCAUUUGGCAUGGAGUGAGUGCUCUCUGUAUAUACUACUUGUGCCAUGAAACAAUUCUGAGUUCCCCAGGGAGAGCCAUCUGCUCCUCUGGAGGCUACCACCUGUCUUCCAUCUGAGCUUUUGUCUUCCCGGGUGCCUGAGUCAGCAUCUCUGUUAUCUGGCCCCUUCUGACCUCCCCUGCCUGCCGAGGGAGGAAUGAGUCCAUACUGCUCAUCACAGCAUCCCCAGGGCUCAGCACAUAAGUGGGAGCACCGGUCCCUGCUGUCCCAGAGCUACUGUGGCUCCAUGCCUGGUGCUCAUGGGAAACCACACCUGCACAGGCCCUGGCCUCUUGUGGCCAUUGCCUUCAGGACUUCUCCUCUUUCAUGCCCCUCUGCAUCUGACCCAAGACCCACCUAUUUGCCCAUCCCCCAUCCCCCACCGCUGCCCUUGCCUCAUCUCCUGACUCUGGGUGGUCCCCAAAGCCCAGCCCCUUGCUCUGGUCCAAGAGUCAAGGCAGGCCAAGUGCAAAGAAGAGGCUGGGCCAAGGGACACGAGUUGUACUGACUUUAUUCCCCUUCAUCCUCUCACUCGCAUGCCUGCUGUGCCCCAUGCUCUGGGGCUGUGGGGUGCCUGUACACGAGCAGUUGUCAAUGGUCUCAACACACACCUGGGCAUGGCCAUUCUGCCACUACCAAGCCCUCUGUGAAGGGCACCGUGGAGACUAUGGCAGCAUGAGCCAGGGUUGAAGGCUCCCAGAACUGUGGCCACAGGGCUUGAGUUCAUCACUCUAGCCACCCAUCGCCAGCUGGCCUGAGACCAGAGAGCCCCAAGGAGCCGGGGAGGGGGCAGACCCAGACUCCAGGCCUGAGUUCUAGCCAAACAGGCUGAGAAGUCCAGAUGGACGGUGGGACCCCCACAGAUCUCCUUGGGAGGGGAUGAUCCUGCGUCCCCCUUCCCCCAGCCCUGGAAAGUGAGUAUGGUGCCCUAGUCGCCUCAUUCUGACAUCUGGGGGCACAUUGUUUUUUUGUGUUGUUUUGUUUUAAAUAAAAAGAUGUAAAAGCUAGUAAAACAGGAACCCCUAUCCAUACUGGAACUGCUGAGGUGCCAUUAUUGCUUCUGGCCUUGUGGUCUGGCCGGAAAGGAGCCCCCACCAACAAUGGCCCAAGUGAAGAGAGUGCUUAGCACCAGGGACACAGGCUCCUAUCCCCAGUGGGGCAGGGGCCUCCCAGGAGAGGGGUUGGUUGUGCCCACCUAGAGCUCCCGUGACCGUCUUGACCAGCUGUCAAGCUGUCUGGUCAGCUGUCUGGACCCCUCACCUGAUCCCAGAGGGGAAGUGUACAAGAACAUGAAACCCAUGUCCCAGGACAGGGUUUCAUUGCCAGCUCCCCACCAGUGUCUCUGACCUCUGCUUGUCAGUAUGGCCUGACAGGUCUCAGCCUGGCCACGGCCACUCAGGCCUACUCAGGCUGUAGUGGGGCCAGCAGGUGAUGACACCACCAGUGCCUGUGGGAGAUCCUGGUGCCAGUGAUGGGGGUUGGAAACCCAUGGAGGACCCUGCCUACAGCCCACUGGGAGAGAUCAACUUUUUUUGGGAAAAUGUGAGCCAGCUCCAAAGAGCUGCCAGGCACUGGGACUAGAGAUUAAAAAUAGCAACAGGGAGGGGGGGACCCUGAGGACAUCACGGAAGCCCAAAGAUCAAGGAGUGCAAGGAAGAAAAAGAGCUACAGUAAAGCAGGAGCCUGGAGUCCCCAGCCUUGGGGUGGGGGUCCUGACCAGAAGCCUUCUUCCUCGGGGAGGGGCGAACCUUCUCUCCCCCAGGACAGCAGGAGCGCCUGAGCGUACGUCUACAGCUCCAACAUCAAUUGGGCAAGGAAGCUGCUGGCACUGUACCCUCCAAGCCCAGAGAACAACCAGGGUGGUGUGGCUUGGAUUAUAAAUCCUCAGAUCACUCGGGCACCUUGGGCCUGCCCAAAUCUGUACAGAAUAAAGUGCUUCGUUUAUUGAUGAUUAAAAUGUCCCCAGCUCCCUGCCCCAGUGCCAUGGGCCUCAUAAGGUCAGAGGGGUUCAGUCCCCCUAACCAUUCCCCCGGGGCCCAAGCCUCUUCCCACUCCAGCCAUGCUGGGAAGGCAAUAGUGUCGGGGAGUGGUGGGGGUUUAAGGUGCAAAGAGUAUAACAAACAAAACUGUAUAAACACAAUAGGAAAGAGCUUAACUAGGAAACAUGUAGCUUAUGGAACCUUCCUCCCCAUAUUAAAGGC
Long non-coding RNA from Homo sapiens (human), 4927 nucleotides. The record is from Ensembl. NCBI's taxonomy places the organism in Eukaryota, Metazoa, Chordata, Mammalia, Primates, Hominidae.